RNAcentral lists this ribosomal RNA (1433 nucleotides) under uncultured organism. RNAcentral's name for it is "SSU rRNA". It matches the Rfam family "Bacterial small subunit ribosomal RNA". The record is from RNAcentral.
GCGACAGGCUUAACACAUGCAAGUCGAGGGGCAGCACAGGUAGCAAUACCGGGUGGCGACCGGCGCACGGGUGAGUAACGCGUAUGCAACUUGCCUAUCAGAGGGGGAUAACCCGGCGAAAGUCGGACUAAUACCGCAUGAAGCAGGGGCCCCGCAUGGGGAUAUUUGCUAAAGAUUCAUCGCUGAUAGAUAGGCAUGCGUUCCAUUAGGCAGUUGGCGGGGUAACGGCCCACCAAACCGACGAUGGAUAGGGGUUCUGAGAGGAAGGUCCCCCACAUUGGUACUGAGACACGGACCAAACUCCUACGGGAGGCAGCAGUGAGGAAUAUUGGUCAAUGGGCGUAAGCCUGAACCAGCCAAGUCGCGUGAGGGAUGAAGGUUCUAUGGAUCGUAAACCUCUUUUAUAAGGGAAUAAAGUGCGGGACGUGUCCCGUUUUGUAUGUACCUUAUGAAUAAGGAUCGGCUAACUCCGUGCCAGCAGCCGCGGUAAUACGGAGGAUCCGAGCGUUAUCCGGAUUUAUUGGGUUUAAAGGGUGCGUAGGCGGCCUUUUAAGUCAGCGGUGAAAGUCUGUGGCUCAACCAUAGAAUUGCCGUUGAAACUGGGGGGCUUGAGUAUGUUUGAGGCAGGCGGAAUGCGUGGUGUAGCGGUGAAAUGCAUAGAUAUCACGCAGAACCCCGAUUGCGAAGGCAGCCUGCCAAGCCAUUACUGACGCUGAUGCACGAAAGCGUGGGGAUCAAACAGGAUUAGAUACCCUGGUAGUCCACGCAGUAAACGAUGAUCACUAGCUGUUUGCGAUACACUGUAAGCGGCACAGCGAAAGCGUUAAGUGAUCCACCUGGGGAGUACGCCGGCAACGGUGAAACUCAAAGGAAUUGACGGGGGCCCGCACAAGCGGAGGAACAUGUGGUUUAAUUCGAUGAUACGCGAGGAACCUUACCCGGGUUUGAACGCAUUCGGACCGAGGUGGAAACACCUUUUCUAGCAAUAGCCGUUUGCGAGGUGCUGCAUGGUUGUCGUCAGCUCGUGCCGUGAGGUGUCGGCUUAAGUGCCAUAACGAGCGCAACCCUUGCCACUAGUUACUAACAGGUAAAGCUGAGGACUCUGGUGGGACUGCCAGCGUAAGCUGCGAGGAAGGCGGGGAUGACGUCAAAUCAGCACGGCCCUUACAUCCGGGGCGACACACGUGUUACAAUGGCGUGGACAAAGGGAAGCCACCUGGCGACAGGGAGCGAAUCCCCAAACCACGUCUCAGUUCGGAUCGGAGUCUGCAACCCGACUCCGUGAAGCUGGAUUCGCUAGUAAUCGCGCAUCAGCCAUGGCGCGGUGAAUACGUUCCCGGGCCUUGUACACACCGCCCGUCAAGCCAUGGGAGCCGGGGGUACCUGAAGUCCGUAACCGCGAGGAUCGGCCUAGGGUAAAACUGGUGACUGGG